UCGCUUUGGUGGGCGAUGUCCCGCGGUUUCUUGCGCGGGCACGCUACCGUGCGCGCAUGUCCGCGCGUCGUCGUCGUGCACUUUUCUCCUAAUAGAACGUUGCGACCCGCUGGGUGUCGGUCUACGGCCCUGGGUGGUGUCUGUCGCGUCGUCGGUAAAACGGCACGCGGCAAACCUUCGGACGCCCGGCCGGCUGUCUGGCGGCACUCGCACGGUAUCAGGCCGCAGUCUGACUGCGUCAAGCCCGUCGCAAGCGCGCGCCACGGUUACUCGGAAGCACGGACCCAGAGCCGUCCCUGGUCCUGGCCCGCUGUUGACCGACGGUGAUCCUUUGACAGGCCUUACGGGGCGACGCNNGGGGUUUUCCCCCGCGCGCCCGCCCUAAUAUCGGUCGGCGACGCUACUGUUUUGGGUACUCUUAGGACCCGUCUUGAAACA
RNAcentral lists this ribosomal RNA (438 nucleotides) under Neoponera unidentata. RNAcentral describes it as "partial 28S ribosomal RNA". Lineage: Eukaryota; Metazoa; Arthropoda; Insecta; Hymenoptera; Formicidae. The record is from RNAcentral.